Cyanistes caeruleus (blue tit) is the source of this 4109-nucleotide non-coding RNA. NCBI's taxonomy places the organism in Eukaryota, Metazoa, Chordata, Aves, Passeriformes, Paridae. The record is from RefSeq and is a predicted model, not a curated record.
GAUGUGAAUUUUUUUUUCUAAAAAAAUAUUUAUUUAUUUAAUUUUUAUUAACAGCGAGAGAGUGUGGUGGGAGCGGAUUUGGGGAAAGAAGCCUGCCUCCCAAGCCACCAUUAACAUUCAGGUGAUGACUUUGUAAUUUUGCUUGGAGAUCCUCGGGUGGAAAUUGCAGGAACGGCGCUAACCCUUAUUUAUCCCAUUUUGUGUGAAAAGCGGAGCGCAGAGGGGAGCGAGGGCGCUGCGGGGAAUGCCACCCCCGCCUUGGGAGGAACCAACAAAACCCGACGGCAAAAGCUAAGCCUAGAGAGGAGGUAAAUCCAGGCUGAAAACCACCCGAGCAGCCUGCCCAAGUUGGGCGCCUCAGAAAUUCUUGCUCUGGAGGUGAUGCACGCCCAAGCCCCGCGCAGCCCUGCCCUUGCUCCAGUCAUUCCCAGCACAAACCCCGCUCUCAGCAGGAGCAGUGGCAUCUCAGGAGGCCAGCGCUGUAAUUAAUGAGAUUUGAGGCGCAAACACUGAGGCGGAAUUCCAGUUGCCAAUGUCAGAAAUGAAGAUCCAGCCUUUGUUACAAAAGGGGAUGAGGGGUGGCAGUACUUUAAAGCUUCUCAGUCCGACACUGGAAAGGAAUUCACAAUGUAUUUUUAGAGUGUUAUAAAAAUCUCUUACAUAAUGCUGAUUAAUUCUUCGGUUUUAGGGAAGAGCACUGAGCUUUGUGUACGAGUGUUGACCAGCUAAGCCACCGAAAAGGGCAGGCUUGGGCUGGAUUUUGGGGGUUUGUUUCCCCCCUUAACUUUUUCUUCUAUAGGCAAAGCUGCAAUUAUUCAAUUAUUACAGGAUUUUGCUUUUGUUUGGGCGUGUAUGAAUAUUAUUCUGGAAACUGUGUCUUAUUCUUGGAAGUCUUUAUCAUUUUAAAACAUAUGCUAUGUUAUAUCACCCUGUCUGAGAUACAGGAUAGCUCCAAACCGGGUGGGGUUUGUUUUUUUUUUCCCCCCCCCUCUCUCUUGCUGCAGCUAGUUACGGUAUGGAUUAAUGUUAAGGAUAUCUGCAGUGAAACAUGAAACAUUGCUUGUGUGGCUGUGCCAGACUGACUUAAACAAUGUCACAUCACAGGACCGCAGUUUUACUGAUACAGUAAUAUGUACAAUUACUUUGUGUUUCUGCCCAUUCUGUUGAUCCUCCAAAAUCAUUGAUUAAUCUAACUGGCAGGUUUCACACACAGCCCUUAACAAAGGGCUAUUCAGGAAAUUAAGUCAGUAAAUGCUACUCCCUUAUUUUAAUUCCAGUUAUCUAUACUUAUUGCUGUGUAGCUGGGAAGAUUUUUUGGGCAAGAUAUCAUGGGAGAGAGACGCUUUUGUUUAGUCUUUUUCAACAGAUACGUGACCGAGGCAGCUUUGAAGCCUUUUCUGAGGAAUCCUUCGUCCUUCUGUAGAAUGUUUAAUCUUCCUGUGGAGUGCCUAACUAUGAGACUCGUUCUGCAGACUUUCAUUCUUGUGCCAUACAGAUGAGCAGGGGUUGCUCAGGUGAUUGAACGAGUCCUAAAUCAUUACUGGAGAAUGGAGAGAGCAGGAACGCCUAGGUCAGAACAAAAAAUCUUUAUUUGCCCCUCUUUUCCACCAGGGAGGGGGGAAAAAAAACAACCCCAAAAGUAAUUACAGCUCAGGGGUAGGGAGGGAUAAUCCUUGUGGGUCCCUUCCAGCUUGAGAUACUCUGUGAUUCUGGGUCUCAAGGAAAGGUUUACCAAUAACCCAACAACCCCUUGCCCUUUCUGCUUCCAGCAGGAGCCACAACUUCCCUCCAUUCUGCACAGAAGGAGCCAGGAUGAUUUUGUCACACAGUUCACCCAUGAAGGGCCCAGAGACAGCAGAAAUGCCAUCAGCUUGGAAGCAAAACUUGCUAAGAACAAACCUUCCACGGGUUCAUUGCUCCCACUGGCUGUGCUGUGCCUGUUCACACACGUGCAGCUCACCACGGGGAAAUUAUCUGUACAGGGCACCCUGUGCCACACGGUCUGAGCCUUACAAUGGAAAAAAACCACUUGUUUGUGUGUACUGGUUUCCUCCACCACUUCUUUUUCUGGUGUUUGAUGUGGUUUCAGGCCUCCCUGGCGCUGUUUCCACUGGAGGGGCUGUCACAGCCUCUCUCUCUCACACAGACACUCAUGUGUGCCUUGGGUGCUGGCAAAGGGUUGAGCUCAUUCUCCUUCUCAUGAAGUUCAAAACCAGUCUUCCUCUUCCCCCCAGUUGCGUAUUUUUACUUCUAGGAUGGGAUUUGGUGCUUUCUUUGGUGAAAUGUAUUUGAUAACUGGGCUAUAAUUAUGUCUAGAUAUGCAUAAGCACCCUCUAGCAUCUCCGUGAUUUCAUUGGUUAGCUAGUUGUUUUAAGCCAUUUGAUGGAAAUUAUAUUUUACCAGACAACCCAGUCCGUGGGGAAAAAAAAAGAAGUAUGAAAAAAGUACAUUGCCUUAGAUAUUAAUCAUUUGAAGGACAGCUGAAAGUCACCAUUGCUGGCGCAGUGAUGUGUCACAUCAAGAAUGUGGCUCCUUGUGCUGUGUGUGGCAAUAAACAGAAGAAGAACAGCAUGAAAACUGGGGAUACAGGUGGAUGUGAGGCUAAAUGGGACCCAAAUCCUGCAUGGAGCUCCACAUGGGCUGAUCUGUCUCUGCAUGAUGUGGGUGCAGGGAUUUGUGACAAAGGGCUUUGCUGCUGUACUGCCUUGGCUGCAAUUCUUAGCAGUUAGUGCUGUGUUUAAAAAAAAAAAAAACAACAAACAAAAAACAAAAAACAGCCCAGCCAGAAAUCACAUUAGCAGCAUCAAAAUUGCUUUUAUUUUCAGGGUCAGUACCCUCAGCAAUAUGGUGCAGGAAAAGGUUGAUCCCAGUACGGAGUUGCUGAUAAUUCCCGAGUUGGUUUGACAUGUGCAGGCUGCUGUCGACUUCAACAGGCUUAUUUAACACAUUUGUUUCUUUUGGGUUUAGGAUUAGCCAAAACGCAAUUUUGUGGAGCUGCACUGAGGAGGUUGCCUGCAGUGGGCUGUGGGCCUGGCAGGACUCAGGUGGCACAAGGAUGACAGCAGAAAGUCUUCCCCUUUAGCCUGGAGUUAACCGUGGAUAGGGCAAAUAACCUCUUCAGAGCACUCAAGAUUUUUACAUUUAUUAAAGCCUGCUCAUAAAAAAGAGACUCCAAAGCAAGCAGUGGCGCUCAGAGUGAAGAUCUGGGAAAAUAAAUGGCCAAAGCUAUCGCACUGUGACAGCUUUGGCAAACCUUUGCACAGUUUUAUAAAACAAACACGCGUGAUGUUCUAUUCUCUGGGUAGGUCUUUGCGUUAGAAGUUCAUACCUGACUCAGAAGAAGAAUAAAAUGGUUCUCUCUCUCUCUCUCUCUCCACAUAUUUACUGAGCACAUACUGGUGAAUUAAGUGCCAUGCCCGUGCUGUGCCACAUCAGCCACGCUGUCCAGCCCCUCCGCAGCUCUCCUGCCUUCAUCGGUGUGUGCAAACCACAGAGGAUGGGUGGAGCUCUGGGGGCUUAAUGUCCCAGGGAGCUAACUGAUCUGGAUCUCAGGAAUCACAGAAAACGAAGCAAUUGUCUGUGGGCUUGCUCUGCUUUUUGUACAAAAGUGGUGUGAGAGUGCAUCGGUGUGUGAGUGUCCCCCUGCUGCUUUUCCACGCCAAGAUUUCAGCUCCUUCUGCUUUUUGUGAACCAUCCGAGGUCCUGGUGUUUGGAUAAGAAUGUAUGGAAAACCUGGGAGGAUUUCACUGUUUUUGGACCCCAAGGAGGGGGUGGUGACGAUAAAAAGCACUGGCACAUGUCAAGUCAAAGUGGUAGCGGGUCUGGCUGAUGGUUUUUUAACAGCUGGCCCAGAGCAGUGUGAAAAGCCAGGAAGGAAAUCACAGCACUGUCCAUUAAUUUAUGCUUAUGUAUGUUUUGUUUCUCUCAACACACACACACACACACACACACGUGAUAUUGUUCAUAUAUAUUGUUCAUCUGGUAAGGAAGAAAUAAAAAAAGAAAUUGAUACCAGUCUGCAUAUGUGUUCAAAAGCUUAGCAAAUUCUCCGAGCUCUGCUGGGGAUCAGAUUUCACCUAACUGCAAUAAAAAAAUCCUUUUUUACCUUG